RNAcentral lists this ribosomal RNA (466 nucleotides) under beta proteobacterium Z1. RNAcentral's name for it is "bacterial SSU rRNA". It matches the Rfam family "Bacterial small subunit ribosomal RNA", at positions 398 to 858 of the family's 1533-position model. The record is from RNAcentral. Lineage: Bacteria; Pseudomonadati; Pseudomonadota; Betaproteobacteria.
CGCGUGAGUGAAGAAGGCCUUCGGGUUGUAAAGCUCUUUUGUCAGGGAAGAAACAGCAGCUCUAACACAGUCUGNGAAUGACGGUACCUGAAGAAUAAGCACCGGCUAACUACGUGCCAGCAGCCGCGGUAAUACGUAGGGUGCGAGCGUUAAUCGGAAUUACUGGGCGUAAAGCGUGCGCAGGCGGUUAUACAAGACAGGCGUGAAAUCCCCGGGCUUAACCUGGGAAUGGCGCCUGUGACUGUAUAGCUAGAGUGUGUCAGAGGGGGGUAGAAUUCCACGUGUAGCAGUGAAAUGCGUAGAUAUGUGGAGGAAUACCAAUGGCGAAGGCAGCCCCCUGGGAUAACACUGACGCUCAUGCACGAAAGCCUGGGGAGCAAACAGGAUUAGAUACCCUGGUAGUCCACGCCCUAAACGAUGCUGACUAGUUGUUGGGAAUUUACAUUCUCAGUAACGUAGCUAACGC